This is a long non-coding RNA of Oncorhynchus keta (chum salmon), 1826 nucleotides long. RefSeq lists it as uncharacterized. The transcript is spliced from 6 exons. The record is from RefSeq and is a predicted model, not a curated record. NCBI's taxonomy places the organism in Eukaryota, Metazoa, Chordata, Actinopteri, Salmoniformes, Salmonidae.
ACUACAGCUGUAGGUAUCUCCUCACCACUAUAGUAGACAGCUGUAGGUAUCUCCUCACCACUAUAGUAGACAGCUGUAGGCAUCUCCUCACCACUAUAGUAGACAGCUGUAGGUAUCUCCUCACCACUAUAGUAGACAGCUGUAUGUAUCUCCUCACCACUACAGCUGUAGGUAUCUCCUCACCACUACAGCUGUAGGUAUCUCCUCACCACUAUAGUAGACAGCUGUAGGUAUCUCCUCACCACUAUAGUAGACAGCUGUAGGUAUCUCCUCAUCACUACAGUAGACAGCUGUAGGUAUCUCCUCACCACUAUAGUAGACAGCUGUUGGUAUCUCCUCAACACUACAGCUGUAGGUAUCUCCCCACCACUAUAGUAGACAGCUGUAUGUAUCUCCUCACCACUAUAGUAGACAGCUGUUGGUAUCUCCUCACCACUAUAGUAGACAGCUGUAGGUAUCUCCUCAUCACUAUAGUAAACAGCUGUAGGUAUCUCCUCACCACUACAGCUGUAGGUAUCUCCCCACCACUAUAGUAGACAGCUGUAUGUAUCUCCUCACCACUAUAGUAGACAGCUGUAGGUAUCUCCUCACCACUAUAGUAGACAGCUGUAGGUAUCUCCUCACCACUACAGCUGUAGGUAUCUCCUCACCACUAUAGUAGACAGCUGUAGGUAUCUCCUCAUCACUAUAGUAGACAGCUGUAGGUAUCUCCUCACCACUAUAGUAGACAGCUGUAGGUAUCUCCUCACCACUAUAGUAGACAGCUGUAGGUAUCUCCUCACCACUACAGCUGUAGGUAUCUCCUCACCACUAUAGUAGACAGCUGUAGGUAUCUCCUCAUCACUAUAGUAGACAGCUGUAGGUAUCUCCUCACCACUAUAGUAGACAGCUGUAGGUAUCUCCUCACCACUAUAGUAGACAGCUGUAGGUAUCUCCUCACCACUAUAGUAGACAGCUGUAGGUAUCUCCUCACCACUAUAGUAGACAGCUGUAGGUAUCUCCUCACCACUAUAGUAGACAGCUGUAGGUAUCUCCUCACCACUAUAGUAGACAGCUGUAGGUAUCUCAUCACCACUACAGCUGUAGGUAUCUCCUCAUCACUACAGUAGACAGCUGUAGGUAUCUCCUCACCACUACAGCUGUAGGUAUCUCCUCAUCACUACAGUAGACAGCUGUUGGUAUCUCCUCACCACUAUAGUAGACAGCUGUAGGUAUCUCCUCAUCACUACAGUAGACAGCUGUAGGUAUCUCCUCACCACUACAGCUGUAGGUAUCUCCUCACCACUAUAGUAGACAGCUGUUGGUAUCUCCUCACCACUAUAGUAGACAGCUGUAGGUAUCUCCUCACCACUACAGUUGUAGGUAUCUCCUCACCACUAUAGUAGACAGCUGUAGGUAUCUCCUCACCACUACAGCUGUAGGUAUCUCCUCACCACUAUAGUAGACAGCUGUAGGUAUCUCCUCAUCACUAUAGUAGACAGCUGUAGGUAUCUCCUCACCACUAUAGUAGACAGCUGUAGGUAUCUCCUCACCACUAUAGUAGACAGCUGUAGGUAUCUCCUCACCACUACAGCUGUAGGUAUCUCCUCACCACUAUAGUAGACAGCUGUAGGUAUCUCCUCACCACUAUAGUAGACAGCUGUAGGUAUCUCCUCACCACUAUAGUAGACAGCUGUAGGUAUCUCCUCACCACUAUAGUAGACAGCUGUAGGUAUCUCCUCACCACUACAGCUGUAGGUAUCUCCCCACCACUAUAGUAGACAGCUGUAGGUAUCUCCUCACCACUAUAGUAGACAGCUGUAGGUAUCUCCUCACCACUAUAGUAG